GACGAACGCUGGCGGCGUGCUUAACACAUGCAAGUCGAACGGAAAGGCCCUGCUUUUGUGGGGUGCUCGAGUGGCGAACGGGUGAGUAACACGUGAGUAACCUGCCCUUGACUUUGGGAUAACUUCAGGAAACUGGGGCUAAUACCGGAUAGGAGCUCCUGCUGCAUGGUGGGGGUUGGAAAGUUUCGGCGGUUGGGAUGGACUCGCGGCUUAUCAGCUUGUUGGUGGGGUAGUGGCUUACCAAGGCUUUGACGGGUAGCCGGCCUGAGAGGGUGACCGGCCACAUUGGGACUGAGAUACGGCCCAGACUCCUACGGGAGGCAGCAGUGGGGAAUAUUGCACAAUGGGCGGAAGCCUGAUGCAGCAACGCCGCGUGCGGGAUGACGGCCUUCGGGUUGUAAACCGCUUUCGCCUGUGACGAAGCGUGAGUGACGGUAAUGGGGAAAGAAGCACCGGCGAACUACGU
RNAcentral lists this ribosomal RNA (466 nucleotides) under uncultured bacterium. RNAcentral describes it as "partial 16S ribosomal RNA". It matches the Rfam family "Bacterial small subunit ribosomal RNA", at positions 28 to 506 of the family's 1533-position model. The record is from RNAcentral.